UCUAUAUAAAGCAAAAUCUCGGGCGGCUAACGUGGCACUUCUCAGGCUCUUAAAUCAAAUUCUCUGCUCUCUGAGCCUCGCUCGCCUAGAACAACUCUUCUGUUCGACUGAUUAAUAUUUCAGUUAAUUAAUGACCUUUUGUUUUCCUAAUCUAUUAAUUAUUUCAGUUUAAAAACCUUUUGCUUUUCAUUACAGGUAACUUUUGAUUUUUCAAUGGUUAAUCAUGUUGUUCAGCCUUUGAUUUCCCACGAUCCGUAGUGUUGUUUGUAUAAUUCAGCCUUUGUCUUCACAUUCACGUGAUCGAGAAGGUUCAUGGUGAUCAGGUCAUUAAAGGCAUCAAUAGCAUCGAUAGAUUGGUGUUCCGUUCCGCCAAGGUCUACAUCAAUGGCCUUCUACAUGUUUGCGAGGAUGUCUCAAUGAAAGAAGAUAACACAACUGUGGUCUUUUCUAAGAGGCUCAGGUUUCCGGUGACCUUCUACAUGUUUGCAAAAAUGUCUUGCAAUGAUUUUUAAUUCGAUGUGAAGGAGCAGAGUAUGGUGGAUGUGUUUGUUAUGAUAGAAGGUUACUGCCAUUUGUUUGUAGAGAGGCUCGAUCUUAGGAUGUUCAGAGGAGGUAUCGGGCUUGAUAUAUGGUUCUACAAGAUGAUGAGAGUUUCCAAAGCUUCGAGAGAUGAGUGCAAUGUUCACAUCACAUUUUGGGAAGGAAUUCUUUGCUCUUGCUGAAUUAAUCCUCCAUGACAAUAGAGUACAGCUGAGGAUUUCCUCCCAGUUCUAUGUAAAAGCUCCUCAUCCUCAAAUGGUACUCCCUCUCAUACAAGGUGAUUAAUAAGUAUUCUCUUUCUCAGGUGGGUGGCUUUUUUAAAGAAUUUUUGGUGUCACUCCAAGUAUUUAGUGUAUAAAUAAGAUACUCUGCUAUCUGGUCAAAAGGACCUGCAUGUGUAAAACCAUAGCAAAAUCAUCUUCAAAAUGUGAAACAAAUGUUUCAAGAGCCUCUGUCACUACUCGCCAGUGUUUAUUCAGAGGGACGGGCAAACUGGACUACGCCAGCUUAUGUUGCUACAAAUGGUAUCUCUAGAUUUCUUUGUUACAACUAAUUUUCCGCAACUAUUUGAGUGUGCAAAGAUGACAACUACACCAAAGAUUUCCAUCGAUAACGGUGACCUGGUAUUGCAUGGGAAAACUGUGCUCAAGGGGGUUCCGGACAAUAUUAUGCUGACUCCAGGAUCUGGAGCUGGACUGGUCUCCAGGGCUUUCAUUCGUGAUAUGAGUAGUAAAUGCAUCCAUGUCUUUCCCGUGGGUGUAUUAGAGUAAGCACCAAAGUUUCCUUCCUAAUUUGCUGUUAUGUCUGUUUGUAAUGAUGUGGUUACUCUUAUCUAUUGCUAUGAAGUAUUAUAAUCUACAAGCUCCUAGAUAUUCCAAAUUAAUAGCCUACAAAUGAAAAGAUGUGUAUAUUGGUGUAAUGUGGCUGAAGAGCACCAGGUUUCAGUACAGGGCAUUAGUCUACAAGUUGAAGAGGAAUCCUCCAUGACAAAAGAGAAUUUUGAAGCAGGAUCAAAUCUAAAAUAGAAUUCCUCGAUUUUACUUGGAAAAAAAAAGAUGAAAGCUUUUCUGAUUCUAUGAAAGGAAGAAAAAAGUACAAGGACAUAACUGACACAAGACAUGAAGACAAGCAUCAUUUGAAUCGGCAGCUUAUACAGCAGUAGUCCAGAUGAUCAAAUUAGUCCAAGUACAAGGUUGAAAAAGGCAUCUAAUACACCUAAGCCUAGAGAGGUUUGGACAGAGAGGAAUUAGAAAUUAUGGAUCAUAUAAAAUAUAUAAAAUGUUUUAUAUUUUAUAUAUUUCUCAUUUGGAACCUGUUGCUGCUUCAAAAUAUGUUUCGAGUAUUCAUUCAGGAAGUAACACUGAUAUAGGACCACGUCAUUCCAAUGAGGAUUAACACAUCUCUGUUGAUGAUCUGUAUGCCCAGUUAGGAUCCUACCAUAUGUGGCCACUACCAAGUUCGUUAUAUGUUCUGUUUGACAUUCAUGUUGUCCAAGCUCUGGCUGAUGAAUGCACUGUCUGUAAUCUCUCUGAGACAACAACUUUGACUGCUUUGGUGUUUGGAAGUCAUCUACAAGUGAUUGCGUGUGCUGUGUUUCUCCUGUGGUGCUUUGCAGAAAAGGAGUUGUCCCCCCUAUGUCUCAAGCUUCCCUUCUUUUUUGUUCUAACUUUCAGGCUAUGCCUCCUCAUUUUAAAAAUGAAA
Daucus carota subsp. sativus is the source of this 2241-nucleotide long non-coding RNA. RefSeq lists it as uncharacterized. Lineage: Eukaryota; Viridiplantae; Streptophyta; Magnoliopsida; Apiales; Apiaceae. The record is from RefSeq and is a predicted model, not a curated record. The transcript is spliced from 5 exons.